UUUCCAGUGGCCAACACAGUGCCCACCCAGAGCCAGCUCAGAGCAGAGUAAACCUCUGUGGAAUGAGUGGGCGAGUGGGGUGCUCAGCCCUCAACACAGACCCCGCAGCCACGGCUCCCCUCCCUGCAGAUCGGGCUCCUGACAACCAUGGCCAUCCUCCUGCAUGAGAUCCCCCAUGAGGUGGGCGACUUUGCCAUCCUGCUCCGGGCCGGCUUUGACCGAUGGAGCGCAGCCAAGCUGCAACUCUCAACAGCGCUGGGGGGCCUACUGGGUGCCGGCUUCGCCAUCUGUACCCAGUCCCCCAAGGGAGUAGGUACGGGCGUGGCGGGUGGUUGUGGCGGGUGGCAUCAGCAGAGGGGCACCAGCCAAAGGGUGUGGCUACCUCACCGCUGGUCCCCAGGCCUGGGAGGUGGGGAGCACACACAGUGCCGUGGGUACCCAGUUGGGUGUUCUCCCGCUGCAGAGGAGACGGCAGCCUGGGUCCUGCCCUUCACCUCUG
Molecule: small RNA, 499 nt
Filed under: Pan troglodytes (chimpanzee)
Lineage: Eukaryota; Metazoa; Chordata; Mammalia; Primates; Hominidae
Description: processed transcript
Source: RNAcentral